RNAcentral lists this ribosomal RNA (253 nucleotides) under uncultured bacterium. RNAcentral describes it as "partial 16S ribosomal RNA". It matches the Rfam family "Bacterial small subunit ribosomal RNA", at positions 524 to 776 of the family's 1533-position model. The record is from RNAcentral.
CACGUAGGGCGCGAGCGUUGUCCGGAAUUAUUGGGCGUAAAGAGCUCGUAGGUGGUUUGCUGCGUCCGCUGUGAAAACCCAAGGCUUAACCUUGGGCUUGCAGUGGAUACGGGCAGACUAGAGGUAGGUAGGGGAGAAUGGAAUUCCCGGUGUAGCGGUGAAAUGCGCAGAUAUCGGGAGGAACACCGGUGGCUAAGGCGGUUCUCUGGGCCUUACCUGACACUGAGGAGCGAAAGCGUGGGGAGCGAACAGG